Molecule: long non-coding RNA, 561 nt
Organism: Bos taurus (domestic cattle)
Lineage: Eukaryota; Metazoa; Chordata; Mammalia; Artiodactyla; Bovidae
Source: Ensembl
UGCUUCCCAGGAAUUUCCAGAUGAGUUGGCCAAGCCUGGAUCCUCUCCUCGGGACCCUCAUCUUCAUCGAGGAGAAGAGCUACAAAUGCUCCUGGUCACUUUGAGCCUCCUCCUGGCCGUCAGUGAUUCCAUAUAUAAGAGAUGUCAUAUUAUGAGAUGGCUAGACAGCAUCACUGAUUCAAUGGACAUGAAUUUGGACCAGGAGACAGUGGAGAACAGAAGAGGCUGGCAUGCUACAGUCCAUGGGGUUGCAGAGAGUCAGACACAACUUAGUGACUGAAUAACAAUGAUAUUUGUCUUUCUCUGUCACUCUCUUACUUCACUCACGAUGAUAAUCUCUGUCUAUCCAUGUUGCUGCAAAUGGCAUUAUUUCAUUCUUUUCUGUGGCUGAGUACUAUUCCAUUGUAUAUAUGUACCACUACUUCUUUAUCCACUCAUCUGUCAGGGGACGCUUAGGUUGCUUCCAUGUCCUGGCUAUCAUAAAUAGUGUUGCAGUAAACAUUGGGGUGACUGUAUCCUUUCAAAUUGUGGUUUUCUCUGCCUAUAUGCCCAGGAGUGGGC